RNAcentral lists this ribosomal RNA (393 nucleotides) under uncultured bacterium. RNAcentral's name for it is "partial 16S ribosomal RNA". It matches the Rfam family "Bacterial small subunit ribosomal RNA", at positions 523 to 918 of the family's 1533-position model. The record is from RNAcentral.
AUACGGAGGAUCCGAGCGUUAUCCGGAUUUAUUGGGUUUAAAGGGAGCGUAGAUGGAUGUUUAAGUCAGUUGUGAAAGUUUGCGGCUCAACCGUAAAAUUGCAGUUGAUACUGGAUAUCUUGAGUGCAGUUGAGGCAGGCGGAAUUCGUGGUGUAGCGGUGAAAUGCUUAGAUAUAACGAAGAACUCCGAUUGCGAAGGCAGCCUGCUAAGCUGCAACUGACAUUGAGGCUCGAAAGUGUGGGUAUCAAACAGGAUUAGAUACCCUGGUAGUCCACACGGUAAACGAUGAAUACUCGCUGUUUGCGAUAUACGGCAAGCGGCCAAGCGAAAGCGUUAAGUAUUCCACCUGGGGAGUACGCCGGCAACGGUGAGACUCAAAGGAAUUGACGGGG